Molecule: ribosomal RNA, 230 nt
Filed under: uncultured bacterium
Lineage: Bacteria
Description: partial 16S ribosomal RNA
Rfam family: Bacterial small subunit ribosomal RNA
Source: RNAcentral
CAAACCUGCCUUAAGGAUGGGGAUAACAGACGGAAACGACUGCUAAUACCGAAUACGUUCUAAGCAUCGCAUGAUGCAUAGAAGAAAGGGUGGCCUCUACAAGAAAGCUAUCGCCUUAAGAGGGGUUUGCGACUGAUUAGGUAGUUGGUGAGGUAACGGCUCACCAAGCCGACGAUCAGUAGCCGGUCUGAGAGGAUGAACGGCCACAUUGGGACUGAGACACGGCCCAG